GACGAACGCUGGCGGCGUGCUUAACACAUGCAAGUCGAACGGAAAGGCCCUGCUUUUGUGGGGUGCUCGAGUGGCGAACGGGUGAGUAACACGUGAGUAACCUGCCCUUGACUUUGGGAUAACUUCAGGAAACUGGGGCUAAUACCGGAUAGGAGCUCCUGCUGCAUGGUGGGGGUUGGAAAGUUUCGGCGGUUGGGGAUGGACUCGCGGCUUAUCAGCUUGUUGGUGGGGUAGUGGCUUACCAAGGCUUUGACGGGUAGCCGGCCUGGGAGGGUGACCGGGCACAUGGGGAUAGGGGAGGGACCAGGGCGGAAAAGGGGGGCAGGGGUGGAAAAUUGUGCAAGAUGGGCGGAGGCGGGGAAGAACAACGGCGGGUGGGGGAGGACGGCUUUCGGGUAAGAAAACCAUUUGGCCUGUAACGAGGGGUGAGGAAGGGAAAUGAAUAAAAAGCAACCGGUAAACUAGUG
This 467-nucleotide ribosomal RNA is filed under the name uncultured bacterium. RNAcentral's name for it is "partial 16S ribosomal RNA". It matches the Rfam family "Bacterial small subunit ribosomal RNA", at positions 28 to 492 of the family's 1533-position model. The record is from RNAcentral.